AUAGCUUCCUGAACAAGCCUAAUCCCGUCUGAUCUCAGAAGUUAGCAGGGUUGGGCCUGGUUAGUACUUGGAUGGGAGACCACCUAGGAAGACCAGGU
Molecule: ribosomal RNA, 98 nt
Filed under: Pteropus alecto (black flying fox)
Lineage: Eukaryota; Metazoa; Chordata; Mammalia; Chiroptera; Pteropodidae
Source: RNAcentral